CCGGUUCGGUCCAUCUUCUAUUUGGCUCCACGCCUCCCCUCCCCUCCAUCUCUCUAUUCAACUCCUCCAUAAUUCACGCCUCCACCACAAGUGCAGAGGUAUUACAUGGUUCGGUUCACCUACUCAUCAAGAUAAAUGCAGAACAAUUUAAUGGGGGCAGCAAAGCCGUCGUCUUCUCCUUUGAAAGGCUUUGCUCUUCUGUAUCCAGGUCCAUGACCAUCAGCCACGCCGCCGCUCACCUCUACCGCCGGCCACCGCCCAUACGCCGCCUAUCCUCCUCCCUCGCCGGCUCGCCCCUCCUCACCAGCCUCCUCCCUUGUGGCCGCGCCGCCCUCUUUGUCCCGCAAUAGCUCCUUUUUAUUUUUUGAAGAUUUGGUUCGGUGUUGCAUUGAGCCGUAAGAGCUAUAAAUACUUCCCCAAAUACGAAUGCUUUCUGGAGAGGAAUUAUUCGAUGCAUUCCCUGUUGCCGGCAUCAGCAAAUCCUAGCUUCAUUCUCGAUUUCACCUCUCCGGGUGCAAAGUUGCUGGCCGAUUGAUCUGCCGCCGGCGGUGCAGGUCUUUUAGUAAGUAUGUCUCAUACAUAGUUUGUGAAGACUAACCAAGUGGUUGCUACUAUUUGCAGGAUUUGAAAUUUAUUUGACCAACAACAUUAUUUCAUUUCAGCCAGCCGAGGUAUUAUGCUUUUGAUCUUCCUCUGUAUCAAUCGGUUGUCACUACAGUCUACACCACACCAUCAUCAUUUGCCACAUUAUUAAGAAGCUUACGUUGGCCGUCGUCUUUAGAGAGUGAAUCCACAUCCAUCCAGAUGCCAGUUUUAUCAUGUAAUCCUUUUAACUGACAUGGUUGUUUCUAUCUCCCCUGCCAUAUGCAUGCACAGAUCCAAGUUUCUAGCAGGCCGGUCGCAGAGGCUACCAUCUAAAGUAUUGUACACGUGUACUUCUGAUUCACCGUGUCCAUUUUAUCCUCUUCAUGGCUAGAUGACAACGUCCAUCAUAAAUUACAUAUCACUUAAGAUAAUUACAUCAGUGCCAGGCCACCUUAUAGGAAGUUUUUGUAAAAGGGCAAAAUGGAAAUUCAAUUGAGGUAUCCAUUUUUUGUCUUCCUUUCUUUCCUUUCGUUCUUUUACCGAAAUGUGUUUUUCAAAAAUUUGAAAUAUGAAUAUCAGAUGCCAUUCGACACUUUAACUUUA
Long non-coding RNA from Brachypodium distachyon (stiff brome), 1188 nucleotides. RefSeq lists it as uncharacterized. Lineage: Eukaryota; Viridiplantae; Streptophyta; Magnoliopsida; Poales; Poaceae. The record is from RefSeq and is a predicted model, not a curated record. The transcript is spliced from 2 exons.